This is a non-coding RNA of Marmota flaviventris (yellow-bellied marmot), 1977 nucleotides long. The record is from RefSeq and is a predicted model, not a curated record. Lineage: Eukaryota; Metazoa; Chordata; Mammalia; Rodentia; Sciuridae.
UAUUGGAUAACCAUCGUCACCAUCCAUUUCUAGAAUAUUUUCAUCUUCUUAAUCUGAAACUCUAUACCCACUAAAUAUAACUCCCCAUUCCAUUCCCCCAUCCUUUCUUUUUUUAACUGAAAUUUCCAGUUUUGCAUUUUUGGGGUGUGAGUAUAUAUGUAUGUGCUUUGCUGAGAAUUUAACUGCAGGCCUCAUGCUGGCUAGUCAAGCACUCUACUACUAAGCUGCCCUUAAAAUUCCCAGUUUUUAAACUUGCUGACAGAAUAUUUUUUGGAUAGGUUUCUACCCUUCACUCCAUCCUGUUACAAACCUCAUACAGGUCCCAGCUGUGUGUGUGAACUUGAGACCAUUUUUGUGUUUCUACAGGGACCCAUUCACUUCACUACCACUACCUAACCCUAUCAGAGCCAUACCCAGGCCUCCCGAAGUUUCUGGCUGUGGGCUAUGUGGACGACCAGCCCUUCAUCUGGUACACACAGUGCUCAGCGCAUGUUUGGCUGUGAGAUCCAGGAAGAUGGCAGGUCCAGCAGCUUCUGGCAAUUUGGCUUCAAUGGACAGGACCACCUGUCUCUGGACCUAGAGACACUGAGCUGGGUGUCAGCAGAGCCAGUGGCUGUGCGGACCAAGCGCUGGUGGGAGAUGGAGCGCUGCUAUGCAGAGUACGACAAGGCCUACCUGGAAAGCCUCUGCCUCAUCUCCCUGCACAGGUAUCUGGAGCUGGAAAGCCAGAGCCUCACUCAGAUAGAGCCUCCCAUGGUGCAGGUGACAAAGCACACCACCCAGGAUGGGACCAUGCUGAGAUGCUGGGCCUUGGGCUUCUACCCACCAGACAUCUCACUGAGCUGGUGGCUGGGUAGGAAGGAGCUGGUCCUGGAGACUGAGCAUGUGGAGACACGCCCCAGUGGGGAUGGCACUUAUCAGACAUGAACAUCAGUUCGGGUGCCAGCUGGGAAGGAGGCCUGGUAUACCUGCCACGUGCAGCACCCUGGCCUGAAGCACACCCUCACUGUGGCAUGGGACUCAUCCUCUAUUGGCAAUGACAGUGGCAAUGGCACACUACUUGGUGGGGUCACGGUCCUGGUCUUUGUUGGGCUGGUAGCUGUAAUUGUGAUACUGAAAAAGAGGUGUCUUCAAGUGGAUAAUGGACUCAUGGAGGAGCCUCCUCUGCCUCUUCUUCAUCAUGUUUGUCCUCUAGCUAGGAGCCUACCGGAUCCACAGGACCCAUGACAGAGCCUUCUUACAAGAACUUCUGAAACUUCUGUGUUCUACUUCUCUGGGAAACCAAAGCCCAAGAAUGUGAAAGACUUUGAUACUACAAAAAAUUUUCCAGCCUGUGCUGUGGCCUGCAGGGCCUCAACAGUGAGCUAGUAAUUUAGAUCAUAUUGAAGAAUGGCACUUAAAUGUCUGUCUCAGUGACACCAAGGUUUUCUAUGUGUAUUAUCAAGCAAGGUUCUAAGCACUUUACUUUCAUUAAGCUGUUUAAUCCUCCUAACAUGCAUAUGUGGAAGAAUAAUCCUGUGCUGUGGGUGAAAAACCUGAGGUCCAGAGAGGGUGAGCCAUAGGCAGAGCUGUAAUGAGACCAGGCAGUCUGACUGCCAUCUGUGUGAUUCACCACUGCACCAAGUCUCAACGACAACUAUGCUGUUCUGUAAAUGUGCAGUUAAGUACAGGUCUCCAAUCCUUUACCUGCAAUUCUAAAAUGCAAAAACAUCCAAAAGCCAAGGGUUUUUUCCUAAUUUGGGCAUCAAACCUGACCCAAACUGAAGUGAGAUCAUUUAUACCCUUAAUUUCUUCUAGUGUGCCUUUUUGCAAUUCUCUACUGAAAUGUUAAUAUAUUCAACAUCUGCCAGAUAGAAUCCUUUCUAAUAUGCAAGGAAUUAUAAAUACAUCUGACCCAAAGGUUUCAGGUAAGGGAUUAUGGACCUGUAUUAAUAAAGUUUUACAGUAAUAAACAUGUUUUAUUUUCACUGAUAAAAA